Molecule: ribosomal RNA, 395 nt
Filed under: uncultured bacterium
Lineage: Bacteria
Description: bacterial SSU rRNA
Rfam family: Bacterial small subunit ribosomal RNA
Source: RNAcentral
AGAGUUUGAUCCUGGCUCAGAGCGAACGCUGGCGGCAUGCUUAACACAUGCAAGUCGCACGGGCACUUCGGUGUCAGUGGCGGACGGGUGAGUAACGCGUAGGUAUCUAUCCUUGGGUGGGGGACAACUGUGGGAAACUACAGCUAAUACCGCAUGAUGACUGAGGUCCAAAGGCGCAAGUCGCCUGGGGAGGAGCCUGCGUACGAUUAGCUAGUUGGUGGGGUAAAGGCCUACCAAGGCGACGAUCGUUAGCUGGUCUGAGAGGAUGAUCAGCCACAUUGGGACUGAGACACGGCCCAAACUCCUACGGGAGGCAGCAGUGGGGAAUAUUGGACAAUGGGCGAAAGCCUGAUCCAGCAAUGCCGCGUGUGUGAAGAAGGUCUUCGGAUUGUAAA